This is a long non-coding RNA of Scatophagus argus, 790 nucleotides long. RefSeq lists it as uncharacterized. The transcript is spliced from 4 exons. The record is from RefSeq and is a predicted model, not a curated record. NCBI's taxonomy places the organism in Eukaryota, Metazoa, Chordata, Actinopteri, Scatophagidae.
GGAACCUUGGAAAGAAAAACAAUAAUAAGCAAAUCCUGGAAAGUUUGUUUCAUUUAAGAAAUCGAUUCCAAAAUUUUGUAAUUGCAGUGACAAUAUUACAUUAGCUCAUGAAAUAAAUAAGUAAAUCGGUAAAUAAAAAUAAAAUUCCUUGAUUUGCACUACCUUCACAUCUUGUCAGGUGAACGACUGUUUCGUCUCUGCUGACUUUGUUCACAACAUGACACUUCAAGCUUCCUGUCACUUGACCAUGUAAGCUGAUGGUAACAUUUGAACUGCUGGCUUUGUGUUCAGCUUCACUCCCAGCCAGUGGCUUCAUGUUUGCUGUCCAGUUUGUCUGGGACUGGCUGUGGCCUCUGGUCUGCACCAGUAAGAGACCAUCCAAGGUCAAAGUGAACUCUACUUCAUCUCCCUCAGAGGAGCAGCUGAUGAUCAUCUGUUCUGGUGACAGACACGUCUGAGACACAGCAGGCUUUGACACUGGAGCUGGAGGACAAAGGGUUGACUUUGGUCAUCGCCGUUGUUCUAAAGUGUCAGUGACAGACACACAGGCGUCUGUCCAAGAGGUAGCUGGGGAGCCGGCAGAUAGCAAGGCCCUUUGCACUACCUUCACAUCUUGUCAGCCUAUCCCAGCCAACUACGGGCGAGAGGCGGGGUACACCCUGGACUGGUUGCCAGCCAUUAUAAACUCAGUCAAGUGUUCUAAGAGCAUGUUAGACCUGCUAAGAGAAGAGGGGUGUUCCUGCAAGGGACAUGUGUACUGUGACAACAUAUUCGACAGCAAAACUGUUUA